GACGAACGCUGGCGGCGUGCCUAAUACAUGCAAGUAGAACGCUGAAGGAGGAGCUUGCUUCUCUGGAUGAGUUGCGAACGGGUGAGUAACGCGUAGGUAACCUGCCUGGUAGCGGGGGAUAACUAUUGGAAACGAUAGCUAAUACCGCAUAAUAGUAGAUGUUGCAUGACAUUUGCUUAAAAGGUGCAAUUGCAUCACUACCAGAUGGACCUGCGUUGUAUUAGCUAGUUGGUGAGGUAACGGCUCACCAAGGCAACGAUACAUAGCCGACCUGAGAGGGGGAACGGCCACACUUGGACUGAGACACGGCCCAGACUCCUACGGGAGGCAGCAGUAGGGAAUCUUCGGCAAUGGACGGAAGUCUGACCGAGCAACGCCGCGGGAGGGAAGAAGGUUUUCGGAUCGUAAAGCUCUGCUGUAAGAGAAGAACGAGUGUGAGAGUGGAAAGUUCACACUGUGACGGUAUCUUACCAGAAAGGGACGGCUAACUACGUG
This 495-nucleotide ribosomal RNA is filed under the name uncultured bacterium. RNAcentral's name for it is "partial 16S ribosomal RNA". It matches the Rfam family "Bacterial small subunit ribosomal RNA", at positions 28 to 507 of the family's 1533-position model. The record is from RNAcentral.